CACGAAAUCCACAUGAUUUUUUUAAUUUUAUUUUUUUAAUGAUAAAAUUGGUGAAUACUAUUAACAACAUACAUGUGGGCUGUAUUUGAACAACUACAACUUCUUCUUCUUCUUGAACUGCGACCGAAUUAUUCUUCUAUCCUAAUCUUUUGCAACACAUCUUCAUGAGGAGAGUGACCCAUAAACGUAUAAAUCAGAUGAGAUUGCUCCUGCUGCAAUCGUUACACUCAUUCGUGCGUGAUCAUGCGAUUUCAUGCUUCUUCUGCUGAACCGAUUCUCUGA
RNAcentral lists this long non-coding RNA (282 nucleotides) under Physcomitrium patens. RNAcentral describes it as "long non-coding RNA (PPAT_LNC012006)". The record is from RNAcentral. Lineage: Eukaryota; Viridiplantae; Streptophyta; Bryopsida; Funariales; Funariaceae.